Molecule: long non-coding RNA, 3167 nt
Organism: Falco peregrinus (peregrine falcon)
Lineage: Eukaryota; Metazoa; Chordata; Aves; Falconiformes; Falconidae
Exons: 3
Source: RefSeq, a predicted model, not a curated record
CUCCCGGCAGCGGGGGCAGCCCCGGUGGUCGAGGGGGCGCGCCCCGGGAGGGCCCGUCCCGCCUGCGCUCCGUGCGCCGCCGUUUCCCCCGGCCCGAGGGCGGGGGCAGCCCGGGCUGCGGCGCGGUGUGGCGGCCCGUGCACCCGCGGCCCCGCACCGCUGGAUGCGGGCAGGGCGGGGUGAGGCCCCCUCUCCCCGCGCAUCUUCCUCAUUCUUCUUAUUUUCCUUCCACGCGGUUUAGAACGCAGCUGAGGGCCGCCGCAGGGCGCACGCCGCAGGUGGCCGGCGGGGCUUGGCACGGAGGCAGGGCCUGGGCCGCCCCGCAGCAGGACACCUCGGCCGAGUCUGCGGGGAGGUGGGCCCCGACGUACGGGCCAAGGGGGCCCCGCCGCCAGCAGAGACCUGCCCGGGCAGCGGCGGCUGACGUGUUACGGGGCACCUGGACACUGUGUUGUGCAGGACUUCACCUCCUUGGCCUGCUUAGAGAAGGCGCUUCAAAACAAACGGGCGUCCUCUGAAAUCGCUGCAUGUCAAGUUACUUGAAGUAGUCCCGUGAAGGAUUUCAGAUAUAUCCCUGAAUCUCUAGGAAGAUCACUAAAUACAGUAUGAUACAGCAGUUGGGAUUAGCAGCCAAAAUAGAGAAGAGAGGAACUGCCAGCAAAGGAGAAGGUCUCUCUGAGUUUUGUUAAUUCCCUGGAAAUUCCACGAGAGCAGAAUUUGGAGAAAUUUCAUCCUGGGAGUACUGGGCCAUAUCUUCUACAGCAAGAUAUUUUGUUGCUUCUAUCCUUUCUAGGUUGCUUUGCCUGUAGUUUUUGUCAUCUUUGGUAUGUCUUUAUUCUCCUAAACUGGUAUUAAUGGCAGAUUUCAUUAGCAUUUUCUUAACUCUCUUGGUUUUUGUCACUUUAUUUCAUCUAUCAAACAUGAUCCCUGGAGAAUCCCAUUAGGCAAGUCAUCAUAAAUCAAAACUUUAUCUUUUGUUAUUCUUUGUUUAAGGUUCUGCAGCCUAUUUUAGAUCUGUUAGAAAUGCCUUUCAUAUCCCACCCCAUCCUAUCAUUCCUCUCAGAGUAAUUUUCAAUUAAUUUUUAAUCCAGAGGCUUGGCUGGUCAGGAUAGUUAGUGAGGGUAUGAAUUCAUAGCACACCAAUGCUCAUUCAUCUUAGUCCACCCACAGCCUGAUACCCAGUACUUCCUAUUGGCGUGGCCCAUCUCGAGCCUGAGGGACAGCCGACGGCAAGUGCUGGGCAAUGCAACUGGGGAAGAAUUAAGGGCAUCCGAAUAGAAUGCUUACCGUCCAUACAGUGAAAAAUAGCUUAGUUCAGCUUGUCUUUUAACACUGCUGGCAUCUGGUAGAAAUUACGAGUAGCUGAUUCCAUCGGCAGAGAGCCUACAGAAGCUGAGAUUUAUUCUGGCUAUAUAGGUUAUAACGUACAGUUGAGACUGAGGAGGCAGAUAGAUAACAUAAGCUUCAAGCUGUAAACGUCAUUGCAUACAACAUGCAGAUGGCCAUGCACAUCCUUUUUGGCUUACUGAAAAGCACAAACUCGCUAUAGCUUUUUGUGCUGGCUAUAAUAGAUCUCAACUGACUGAUACUAUUUUAAAUGAGGGCUAUGUGCCUAAGUGCUUAAAUCUGCAUGGCAUAUAUUCAAACCGACCCUCUCCCACAGCCUUCUGUGCUUCAGAAGAUAUGAAGGGAGUCCGAUUCACUGGUGAGAUACAGAAUAAAGAGAUAUUAUUAAUCCUUUAUUAUAUUUUCUUCUUAGUAGAUGUCUUUCGUGUGUAGGUGUGAAUGGAUGUGUAGGAGAGAAUUGAUUUUGACAGGAGUAGGGUGAAAUGCAGGUGGAGGGGUGUCCAGGAUCACUGGGAAUGGAGAACUGCUUUCUUGCAAAAAUGUCAGCCCAGAAGAAAUCACAAAGAUAGAAAGGAGAGAAAGAAGAAGAAGGAUCUUUGAGCAAGCGAGAUUUGCAGAACAAAGUGAGAACAUUCAUUCAGAUCCCUACAGUGAAAGAAGUGGUAAUUCAACUGCAAAAACACCAGUUCAUAGUAACACAUGCUUUUAUUAUUGCAUAAUUACUGAUUGCUGGGUGUUUGAAAAUGUGCUGACAUCAAAAAGAAUCUUGUAACGUACUACUGGUCUAAAUAGACCUUUGUCUUUAUAAACAAUAAUUGGAGAUCAAUCAUUAGUCAGUAAGCACCUACCCUAUCUAUACAGCCAGAGUGAGAACUGGUAAAUAAAUGACAGGGCAACAGGGAAUCGACAACCUGGCCAAGUUAUGUGUGACCAUGCUUCAGAGUCUGCUGAAGACUUACAAUCACCCCCACCCCUGCAACACUUGAAGUUUAACAUCGCUAGAGUUGGAAAAGUAACGUAGCCUUUUUGCCUUGUCUAAGGCAUUUUUGCCUUGCACAGUAAACUCGCUAGUGAUAUGGUCUGAGUCCCUUUUCUGCUAAGAUACCUACAUGAGCUCCAUGAACUGCUGAGGAAAGGGGUGGAUCCAAAAUGAUGAAAACCACCGGGGUUAACAUGUAUAAUAUUGAAGAUAUUGAAAACAUGUAGAUACAAAAUUGCAUGUAUUUAUCUUUACUCACAUUCUGUAUCAUGUAUCUUACAUUGUAAGCCCAUUGGGUCAGGUGACCGCUGAUACUGUUUUCCACUGAAUGUGGUGGAUUCAAGUUCCUGCUUUACAGUAAUUAAACAAGAAGCAUAGUAAGAUGAGAUGGAAAAAAACCUAAAAAAACAGUAAACAAGAACUUGAUAGAUCUUGAACACUUCAUAUUUAUUGUACAUUAAAUAAAACAAUUUCAGGUCAGUUGAGAGACUGGUGGGUUGGAUUUAGGAAACCAAAACUUCUAAAGGAAGAUAUGUUUAGCUUAAAUGAUCAUUAAGUAACAUAUUAAUUCAUCAUAACGUAUUAAUUACGUUAUAGUAAAACCAUAUUGUUAAACAAUUAUCAGGUGAAUAAGGUACAUUAUCAAAGAGGUAUGUAUUCCAAGGGUCUUAUUGCACAGCUACUGGCUAAUCCAUGUACUUUCAGUCUGAGAAAAGUAUGCUUUGUACCACCAAGUACAAACUCUGACUGCCUCCUGGUGUUUAUUACACAGCUUCUCCUCUUUCCUCAUCAAAAAACAGACCACAACAUCAAACAGAAAAUAAAGCUGAACAUUACAAAA